CCGCUAAUUGUUUUAGCGGUCUGGCGAAGGGGGUAUUAUUGUGAAUUGGUCUGAGUACCGCUAAUUGUUUUAGUGGUCUGGCGAAGGGGUAUUAUUGUGAAUUCGGUCUGAGUGGCGGCAGGGCAGCGGGGCACCUGGGAGGCGGAGUGGAUCUCCGGCGCAAAUUUCAAACGAGGUAAGCAGCAUUCGGGGAUGAGCCGGGGAACGAACAAGAAGGAAAAAGAGAAUGCUCUGGUUGCCAGCCGGUGCGGCUCGGAGCGAAGGGAGAACUUAGACUCUGAGCGGGAUUUGAGAAAAAAAGACUAAGGAUUUGGUUUCAGGAUUUGCCCUGUUAUCAAAUAUAAGGUUUUGGGUAUACGGGGGUUCCCUACAGGUUAUUUCUAGGGGUUUUUUGUUUUGCGUAUUUUUGGAGAGAAACCGCGGAGGGUUUUUUGUUUUGUUUUGUUUUUCAGGAGGUUUUUUUUUGUUGUUUGUUUUUUGCUGUAAGCCGCUGGGAGCCGCGGUGCGUUUAUGAUCGCGAGAGUUUUUUGCGACUCGGACUUUGAUUUUAAAUUUCUUUGUUCGGAUUAAACAAAUGCAUAUAAAUUGAAAUAAACUUUUCCCACAAGGCAUGCACCCUGUAUGUCUGGCCAUACUGAACGUUACAAAAGCACAAGUUUAACUAAGCACAUUUAUACUGGUUUAACACAUUUUCACCCAUAAACACGGAGCCCCCACAGAAGCACGGUCCCGAGGCGCCUAGACACACAGGCGCGCUCGUGCGCGCCCUGUGCACUCAUGCGCUGUCAUGCGCUGACCCACCACCAGAUGGCGUUUCUUUAGGGAAAAAAGGAAAAAGUUUUUAUUGGAUUAAAAAAA
Long non-coding RNA from Oreochromis niloticus (Nile tilapia), 858 nucleotides. RefSeq lists it as uncharacterized. The record is from RefSeq and is a predicted model, not a curated record. The transcript is spliced from 2 exons. Lineage: Eukaryota; Metazoa; Chordata; Actinopteri; Cichliformes; Cichlidae.